This 281-nucleotide long non-coding RNA is filed under the name Mytilus galloprovincialis (Mediterranean mussel). The record is from RNAcentral. Lineage: Eukaryota; Metazoa; Mollusca; Bivalvia; Mytilida; Mytilidae.
CCCUAUGUUCUAUUUUUAGCCGUGGCGGCCAUCUUGGUUGGUUGACCGGGUCACGCCACACAUUUUUUAAACUAGAUACCCCAAUGAUGAUUGUGGCCAAGUUUGGUUUGAUUUGGCCCAGUAGUUUCAGAGGAGAAGAUUUUUGUAAAAGUUAACGACGACGGACGACGACGGACGACGACGGACGACGACGGACGACGGACGACGACGACGACGACGACGGACGCCAAGUGAUGAGAAAAGCUCACUUGGCCCUUCGGGCCAGGUGAGCUAAAAAGGAC